ACAUCCAUCUGAAACAUUUCAUUUUUGUUGUCUCAUCCCACGAGGUAGAAAUCUAACUGGAUGCUUCUCAAGAAGCAUGGCAGUGCUUCCUCACUACCCCUCAGGACUCCCCACCUCACCCACAGCACACCCAAGACACCCCACAAAUGCACACAGAGGAGAGACAACCCUUAAUUUCAUUCCACUCAAUUCCGUUCCGGUUGGUUGCCCAGAAUUCAGUUUCCUUCAGUCAUCUCUAGGUGUCAUCCGAGAGGAGCCUCUUCAGGCUCGAUUUUCAGCACAGACGCGGGCAUUUGGCGGGCCUGGGGAGGCUAGGAUGCUGGGGGCUCUGCCUUCGCUGCUGGUGUGGAGUCUGAGCUCCUCCCCAUGCUGGCCCCAGCCGUCUCCUCCCCAUGCAGCUGGGGCCGGGGCAAGUGGCACUCCGGGCAGAGGGGAGCUCCUCCCCCAGCGUUCUCAUCCGCAGUGAAAGAGAAUUGCCCUCUGUGAUUGUACAUAGAAUCUGCCAGCAAGAGCCGCCCGAGAGAACAGACAAUGGAGCUCUAUGUACCUCUGCAGAAAAAGAACAAAAAUUCCUACACUUCAAUGUUAACUUCUGGGAUCCGCAGCCACCCCAGGGCAUCCUGGAGAUCACCCAACACAGAAGACAUCUUCAGAGCUUAAAUUAGCUUGCAAAUAUCAAAAAGAUGUGCGUGGAUCCCAGGAGUCCCAGUGGACCAACCACCGCCAGCUGUGGACUGCCCGCCGGCUCCACACCGCAGCUCAGAUGUGCUGCUUUCCAGGUGUUUAGUCCACGACUACAGAGCUGAAUGAACAUCAGGAUCGGCCUGUGAUGGGAAUCGCAGCUGCACACAGUCAGGAGAGAUGAUGCUCGGUCCUAGAUGUGUUUGCUGAGUGAGGGGGACACUCCCCCAAAGCAAGGAAGUCGCUGAAUCUCCUGAGACCCCAGAGAGGCCCAGGCAAGGCUGGGAGGUGUGGGCGUCUGCCUGGGGUCAGUGGUGUUGGCCAGGUUACAAUCUCAACCUAAAACUUCAUGCUAAUCAUCUGAACUCCGAACAUUUUUCCAAAGCUAAAAUUACCUUUCAAAGGAACGUAGUUCUAGUGUUUGAGACACCUACAAUUCCUUCUUAAAUAAAAUUCAAUCUCUCAACCAACCACAAUUCCUACUUUUUUAAAAAGCACAUAAAGAAAAACAGUGUUAAUGAACCCUCUUAAAUUCAGACGCACAGGGUCUCUUCUUUGGUGCUUUAUUUACA
Molecule: long non-coding RNA, 1253 nt
Organism: Capra hircus (goat)
Lineage: Eukaryota; Metazoa; Chordata; Mammalia; Artiodactyla; Bovidae
Exons: 3
Source: RefSeq, a predicted model, not a curated record